UGGAACCCAGCCAUCUUGGCUCUCUCGUGUUGGACUCCAACCGAGACUGACCAGAAGAAGGGUACUCACCAUCAGACGUCUGAACCGCGCGUUUCCUCCUCUAUCUAACUCUGAUCAAGUUAGAUUUCAGAAACACGCGAUCAUCAACUCAAAAAAGUGGCUGCCCCCCCUUUUCUCUUCUUAAUUCCGCGCGCGCAGCACUGCUGAAAAGACUUUCGUCAUCAUCCACGAAGAUCUUCAAAGCAACCUCUCUCUCUUCCUCUCCAAGAUCUACUUCUCCAGUGAGACGGUGCUUCCUACAAAGGCGAGACUUUUUGCAGUAAGAAAAGGCACUGGGCGAAAGAUUAGUUUUAGUAAUUAAUUCACUAAGUGUGAAGUUAGAUUCAGGAAUAAGUGUGCACACUGUAUUAUUGUUGAUUUUCUAUUACAUAGGUGGCCAACCCGCGGCUCGCGAGCCGCAUGCGGCUUUUUGCCUGGUGUCAUGCGGCUCUCACCUUCAUGUCCAAGUUGGUGUUCGUUUGUGGUUUUAUGUGCGUUUUUGCUUCACUGCAGUUAAUUAUGGUUAUUUUAUUAAAGGUGCUUCACUUGGUUUCAUUACGGUAUUUUCACAUCAUGACAAAUGCGCAGGUGCGUGAGAUGAUAUGCUAAAUUUCAGAUCUCAAAAUGGCAGGGAAAAAAUGCACUUCAAAAAGAAAAUAUGAAGAUGAAAACAGGACGUUUUUAACAGAGUGGGAGGAUUUAUAUUUUUUCGUUGAACGUUAUGGCAAGCCAUUCUGCCUUCUAUGUCAGUCGUCAUUGUCGCAUUUCAAGUCUUCAAAUCUUCAGCGUCACUUCAGCUCACUACAUGCUAAAAUCGACCAGGACUUUCCGAAAGGGAGUGAACUUCGUAAACACAAGUUAAUCACAUUAAAAAGUCAAUCACAAAAGCAGGUACAGCUCCUCAAAAAAUUUACAAAACAAUCAGAGACAGUAACACAUGCAUCGUAUAAACUGGCUUGGAACAUUGCUCGGGCUAAAAAGCCAUACAAUGAAGGGGAAUGAGAUUGUGUGAGAUUGUGUGACAUUGAAUGAGAAGGUGUGUCCAAACUUUUGGCAUGUAGUGUAUAUACAUUAUGUAUUUGUUCAUUUGUUUUCCAGUUAUCAAUUUGUGUGUGUGCGUGUGUUCUUCUUUCAAAAAUUUGAGCAUUGUAUUAUAUUUUAUCUAUAUUUGCACUUGCACUGAUCACUGUUCCCAGUGCCUAUGGAGCUUGUACUGUUUGAGGAAAUUAAAUUAGCACUUUGUAAUUUC
This is a long non-coding RNA of Neoarius graeffei (lesser salmon catfish), 1288 nucleotides long. RefSeq lists it as uncharacterized. Lineage: Eukaryota; Metazoa; Chordata; Actinopteri; Siluriformes; Ariidae. The record is from RefSeq and is a predicted model, not a curated record. The transcript has 2 exons.